Oncorhynchus keta (chum salmon) is the source of this 506-nucleotide long non-coding RNA. RefSeq lists it as uncharacterized. Lineage: Eukaryota; Metazoa; Chordata; Actinopteri; Salmoniformes; Salmonidae. The record is from RefSeq and is a predicted model, not a curated record. The transcript has 3 exons.
UGAGGGGUCUGUCCAGAAGUGGUCCGCCGUUUUCAUCUUCGUGUACUCCAAGGCACAGGGCCCCACUGCCAGAGUACAGAACAAUGGCAUGUAAAGAUGCGCGUGAGGAGAAUCCCUUACAUCAAUUGGUGCCCUGUGAGACCAUGCCAUCCCCCCCCCUAAUAUGACUCACCUGCUGUUCUCCACGAGGUAGAGCACGAUCUUGUCCAGCACCUUCUCGAAGAGGGCCGUGCGGAUCCACAGGUUUCUGACCACCUGCGGGCUGAGGCUCGACAGCCUGGGCAGUCUCCGUACGCUGUCCUGGUUGGGCAUGCUUUGGUUCCGCCUGAGGGAAGGAGGAACCCAGAAGUUUCCUUUCUAUUACACUCCUGAGCCUUCCUGCACAGCUCCUCUGCCGGGGUGAAGCUCUUCCCCACCUUCAUGAAGAGCGCUGCUAUUUUAUUGCUACGCAGGAAUCCCGCCGCUCGCCGCUUAAGCCCAUGUAGAACGCAAGCCUCCACCGCAGC